This 135-nucleotide ribosomal RNA is filed under the name Paramormyrops kingsleyae. The record is from RNAcentral. Lineage: Eukaryota; Metazoa; Chordata; Actinopteri; Osteoglossiformes; Mormyridae.
CCAGUACAAUAAACCCUACUUCUUUUUCACUGACAACUACAGUUCAGACUAGGUAAUCCAUCUGAAGCGAAGCAGGUUUGGGUCUGACCAGUACUUAGAUGAGAGACCAGCUAAGAAAGCUAGGUUGCUGCUGGA